UUCUUGUUUCAUCUCAAUAUUUGCUAGAGUUAUUGUAGUUGUGAAUUUUGCGUUUUGAGUUGUUUUUCAAGUUUUUUUAUUGUUAUAGAGUUAGAGUUGUGAUGAUGAACUGUGUAUGCAUUGUUCUCCACUUAUGAAGGACUAAACUUAUUGUUCGUGUUGUUGUUUGUUGUGUCACUGAAACUUAUUGUUUGUUUGUCAUUUUAAUUUGUUUCUUGUACUGUUAAGAAUACAUAAAUUAUAUUAAAGUUGUUGAGAAUACCUUUUGUUUCUGAAUAUUUUUCUCCAGUUUAGCUGUGUAAGUUGUGUGUAUUAAGAAAUAAUUUUUAUUAUCCUUAUUAUGUUUAUUAUAUGUUUUUAUUUUAUUUUUAAACUUGUUGCUCUUACCGGAUCUUUAAAACAAAUACAUGAAGACUUGUAGAAAUAACUAUAAAAUG
This 437-nucleotide long non-coding RNA is filed under the name Brassica napus (rape). RNAcentral describes it as "long non-coding RNA (BNAP_LNC019105)". Lineage: Eukaryota; Viridiplantae; Streptophyta; Magnoliopsida; Brassicales; Brassicaceae. The record is from RNAcentral.